UCCCUGGUGGCUGAGUUGGUAAAGAAUCCGCCUGCAAUGCGGGAGACCUGGGUUCGAUCCCUGGGUUGGGAA
This 72-nucleotide transfer RNA is filed under the name Bos taurus (domestic cattle). It matches the Rfam family "tRNA". From Rfam's summary of the family: Transfer RNA (tRNA) molecules are approximately 80 nucleotides in length. Their secondary structure includes four short double-helical elements and three loops (D, anti-codon, and T loops). The record is from Rfam by way of RNAcentral. Lineage: Eukaryota; Metazoa; Chordata; Mammalia; Artiodactyla; Bovidae. RNAcentral also lists the same sequence under 4 other names.